Molecule: long non-coding RNA, 570 nt
Filed under: Anolis carolinensis (green anole)
Lineage: Eukaryota; Metazoa; Chordata; Lepidosauria; Squamata; Anolidae
Description: lncRNA (ENSACAG00000017062.4)
Source: RNAcentral
AUGUAUGAUGACACAGAAGCACCAAGUGGAGAAGAGGGUCUCCCACAAUGGAGUUGCCGCCCCCUCCCUGCUGAGCCCACAGAGAAGACAGAACAUGUGGAAGAUGAAUAUGAAAGCUUUGGUGAAGAAAGCAGCUAUGGCAGGAUCCCAUUUCCUUCUGAAAGGAAGAAGCCAAAUACACAAGCAAAACAACCAAGCCCUAGUAUUAACUCUUUUACAGCUGAGCCAGCUUUCACUCCUGCCUUCUGGAAAGGCUUUUGGAAGAGAAAUGGCAUGCUUGUGGUCUUGGCUGUCCUUGUUGGCUGUCUCGUAAUUGACAUGAUUCUUCUCUCACAAUAUGCUGCCAUGUUUUCAGAGCUCAGGAAGCUGAAUUUCACCCCCACAACUGACAUCUGUGAACCUUCAACAGCCCCUCUAUAUAUUGAAGAAUUAAAGAGCACAUUAAUAGCAGAGUUCAGAACUUUGGAAAAUCAUGUUGAUGAGAAGUAUAAAGCAAGUGAUAGAAAAAUGGAAAAGGAAAUAUCCAGGCUGGAAGAAAAACUGAGUGCAAUGGAAAACAGACAAGGUUAA